RNAcentral lists this ribosomal RNA (142 nucleotides) under uncultured eukaryote. Its description in RNAcentral is "partial 18S ribosomal RNA". It matches the Rfam family "Eukaryotic small subunit ribosomal RNA", at positions 1299 to 1458 of the family's 1831-position model. The record is from RNAcentral.
UGGUGGAGCGAUUUGUCUGGUCAAUUCCGAUAAUAAACGAGACUAGCCUACUAAAUAGUUCGAGGACCCCCACAAAGGGGUCCAGCUUAAACUUCUUGGAGGGGACAGGUGGCGUUUAGCCACACGAGAUUGAGCAAUAACA